This 464-nucleotide ribosomal RNA is filed under the name uncultured bacterium. RNAcentral's name for it is "bacterial SSU rRNA". It matches the Rfam family "Bacterial small subunit ribosomal RNA", at positions 71 to 518 of the family's 1533-position model. The record is from RNAcentral.
UUGCUUCCACUGAGAAGAUAGUGGGCGAACGGGUGAGUAACACUGGGUAACCUGCCCAUAAGAGGGGGAGUAACAUCCGGAAACGGGUGCUAAUACCGCAUAGUUUUCUUGAUUGCAUGAUUGAGAAAGGAAAGACGGCCUUUGUGCUGUCGCUUAUGGAUGGACCCGCGGCGUAUUAGUUAGUUGGUGAGGUAACGGCUCACCAAGACGAUGAUACGUAGCCGACCUGAGAGGGUGAUCGGCCACAUUGGGACUGAGACACGGCCCAAACUCCUACGGGAGGCAGCAGUAGGGAAUCUUCCGCAAUGGACGAAAGUCUGACGGAGCAACGCCGCGUGAGUGAAGAAAAGGUUUUCGGAUCGUAAAACUCUGUUGUCAGAGAAGAACAAGUUGGAAGAGUAACUGCUCCAGCCUUGACGGUAUCUGACCAGAAAGCCACGGCUAACUAACGUGCCAGCCGCUGC